This 465-nucleotide ribosomal RNA is filed under the name uncultured bacterium. RNAcentral describes it as "partial 16S ribosomal RNA". It matches the Rfam family "Bacterial small subunit ribosomal RNA", at positions 338 to 795 of the family's 1533-position model. The record is from RNAcentral.
CCUACGGGUGACAGCAGUGGGGAAUAUUGCGCAAUGGGCGAAAGCCUGACGCAGCGACGCCGCGUGAGGGAUGAAGGUCUUCUGAUCGUAAACCUCUGUCAGCAGGGAAGAACGGUCACUUUGCUAAUCAGCCUUGAAUUGACGGUACCUGCAAGGGAAGCACCGGCUAACUCCGUGCCAGCAGCCGCGGUAAUACGGAGGGUGCGAGCGUUAAUCGGAAUUACUGGGCGUAAAGCGCUCGUAGGCGGUAUGUCAAGUCAAGGGUGAAAGCCCCGCGCUCAACGGUGGAACUGCCGUUGAAACUGGCAAACUGGAGUGUGUGAGAGGAUAGUGGAAUUCCAGGUGUAGGAGUGAAAUGCGUAGAUAUCUGGAGGAACAUCAGUGGCGAAGGCGACUAUCUGGAACAUAACUGACGCUGAGGAGCGAAAGCGUGGGUAGCAAACAGGAUUAGAUACCCGGGUAGUC